GGGCGGUGCCCAGGCCCAAAUCCCUUCCAAAGCGUCGGGGAAAAAAGAGACGGGAAGGCGAGCUAGGGCCUGCUGCUUUUCCGUUCCUCCUCGUCCCGCGGUGAAGACCCCCUUCCCUGCGGGGAGAAAGGAGCGAAGAAGACCCGAACCUUAUUACCUUCCCGGUGACCCCGCCAGGUCCUCCGAUCACCUCAAAGUGGUAAUCCUUUGGGAGAAAUGUCAUGUGAAGAUGCCCAGAAAAAAAAUAGGCCUGAAAAAUUGUUGAACUACUACAAACCACUACACCUGAGAUGCCUUUGAAGACUUUCCAGAAACUACAGCUGAGGCAGAAUGUGGCAAUCCUUAGUCAUGACCUGACUGUUUGGAAUAGCC
Long non-coding RNA from Python bivittatus (Burmese python), 372 nucleotides. RefSeq lists it as uncharacterized. The record is from RefSeq and is a predicted model, not a curated record. Lineage: Eukaryota; Metazoa; Chordata; Lepidosauria; Squamata; Pythonidae.